CGGCGGACGGGUGAGUAAUGUCUGGGAAACUGCCCGAUGGAGGGGGAUAACUACUGGAAACGGUAGCUAAUACCGCAUAACGUCGCAAGACCAAAGAGGGGGACCUUUGGGCCUCUUGCCAUCGGAUGUGCCCAGAUGGGAUUAGCUAGUAGGUGGGGUAACGGCUCACCUAGGCGACGAUCCCUAGCUGGUCUGAGAGGAUGAUCAGCCACACUGGGACUGAGACACGGCCCAG
This 235-nucleotide ribosomal RNA is filed under the name uncultured bacterium. RNAcentral's name for it is "partial 16S ribosomal RNA". It matches the Rfam family "Bacterial small subunit ribosomal RNA", at positions 96 to 334 of the family's 1533-position model. The record is from RNAcentral.